Molecule: ribosomal RNA, 459 nt
Filed under: uncultured bacterium
Lineage: Bacteria
Description: bacterial SSU rRNA
Rfam family: Bacterial small subunit ribosomal RNA
Source: RNAcentral
ACGCUGGCGGCGUGCCUAACACAUGCAAGUCGAACGGAGAUAUGAUUUCGGUUAUAUCUUAGUGGCGAACGGGUGAGUAACGCGUGAGCAACCUGACCUUCAGAGGGGGAUAACACUUGGAAACAGGUGCUAAUACCGCAUAAGACCACGACCCGACAUCGGGAUGCGGUCAAAGGAGCAAUCCGCUGAGGGAGGGGCUCGCGUCCCAUUAGAUAGAUGGCGGGUAACGGCCCACCAUGUCGACGAUGGGUAGCCGAGCUGAGAGGCUGAUCGGCCACACUGGAACUGAGACACGGUCCAGACUCCUACGGGAGGCAGCAGUGGGGAAUAUUGGGCAAUGGGCGCAAGCCUGACCCAGCAACGCCGCGUGAGGGAAGAAGGCCUUCGGGUUGUAAACCUCUGUCCUUGGUGACGAAACAAAUGACGGUAGCCAAGGAGGAAGCCCCGGCUAACUACGUG